CACCUGUUGGCGCCAGAAAACAAACUUAGAGUAGCUAAGUAGUUUGCUUGCCUUUAUAGCUGGUCCCGUUGAGGAAAAAAUGUCAAGCACAAGUUCAGAACAUUAUGCAACUCCUAGAAUUAAGGCGAUUCUCUUUGUAGCAGUCCUGCAAUAUAAUAAAAUACUUGUAUGCAUAUCAUAAUACAGAUGAUCAUAAAAUGUUUAAGCAAAAACCUGAAUAUCUCCAACCUAAACUGAGCCAAGUUGUAAUCAAUUCGUAUUGCCAUGAGCCCAUGUUUACUCACGUGUAGAGUUUGAAAAAUAAUGCAAGUCACAUAUCAGAAGCAUAAUAAUGAUCUUUUAUCUUGCUGAGUUACAGCUAGCUAAGGCUCUCUCUUGUUUUAUUGUCUGUUUUGCUUGUGGGACAUUCAGCCAGCUUAAGUCUGACUGUAAACAUGUCCUUAACGGCUAGUGUGUGAAUUGAAUAAUAAUGUGCUCUUCCAAAUUCUUCAUGCACAUUAAAACUCAAUAUAUAUUUCCUUACAGAUUCCCUUUGGAAGGACUCCAUAGAUGAGAAGGUUGAAUUCUAUAGGAAAUGACUGCAAGAUACCCAAAUCAAAAAGUAUUUAUGAAAUAGUUCAGAUUCGGACAAAAAUAGAGGAAACAACAAAAGGAUAUAUAUGCGAUAUCAAAAAGAGAUUUCUGUACUGCAGGCUGCUUGGACAUGCAUGUUCAUGGUGAAUAAAGCAAGUAUACUAUAACUAAGAGAAUAUUUCAAAGGCAAACUUAUAGGUCAUAUCAAUGCAUUGUAUUUGUUUUUUCCUUUGACUGAUCCACAAGGAAUAGUGGUAAUCAAGGAGGGUACUCUAGAAUCAUGGAGGAAAUCAAAGAGCAAUUAAUAUUCAUAUGUAUGGAGCAAUGAAUAGUUUGUUGAUUGUAACAGUGAUAUGGAGAUGCUAAAGAAGCUCCACCAUGACUUGUAGCCAAGUUGCUCCAUCAAGCUUGGAUAUGUAUGUAUGUCUGGAAACUGAAAUUGGAAAUUCUAAGCUCUUAAUUAGAUAAUCAUUAAUUAAUUAAUUAGUUGAGUGACACAAAAACACAACUACAAAGAAUUCAUUAAUCAAACAAGCAUACACACCACUAUUUCAUAUACUCUCCAUCAAGCUCUAACUUCCUUUAUGGCUUACCAAAUUAAUUAACAAAACCCUAAACUUCAAGAACCACGUUCGUCUUCAGAAAUAACCUAGCUAAUACAUAAACACAAGCACAAAAGGGUUGUUUUUGAAAGCAGUACUAUGAUCAUAACCAAUAUAUAUGACAUGAAGGACUAAUUUCGGCGUUCUUACAUCUAUAUAUAUAGAUGCUAGUUCCUGUACGUCUCACAGUGUGUUAACAAUAAAUGGGAAUUCCAAAUAGACUCCUUGUUUCGAAUCAGAAAAUCUUAGAUCCAACUAUUUCAGGUGUGUGUAUACAGUCAUUUAUGGCUGAUGCAGCAUCAUCAAGAUUCUCACCUUCAAAGAAAUACAUUGCUGUCUAUCUAUCUAGCUAGCUAGCUGCCGUACAUCUGUUUGAGUGUGAAUCUUGAUGAUGCUGCACCUGCAAACAAUGACUUUUGAUGUCGAUCCAUGUUCCAUGCAUAUUGGAUAGUGUAAGAGAACUAAAGUAAAA
Populus euphratica (Euphrates poplar) is the source of this 1647-nucleotide long non-coding RNA. RefSeq lists it as uncharacterized. Lineage: Eukaryota; Viridiplantae; Streptophyta; Magnoliopsida; Malpighiales; Salicaceae. The transcript has 2 exons. The record is from RefSeq and is a predicted model, not a curated record.